RNAcentral lists this ribosomal RNA (292 nucleotides) under uncultured bacterium. RNAcentral's name for it is "partial 16S ribosomal RNA". It matches the Rfam family "Bacterial small subunit ribosomal RNA", at positions 505 to 796 of the family's 1533-position model. The record is from RNAcentral.
GUGUCAGCCGCCGCGGUAAUACGUAGGUGGCAAGCGUUAUCCGGAUUUACUGGGUGUAAAGGGCGCGUAGGCGGGACUGCAAGUCAGAUGUGAAAUGUGAGGGCUUAACCCUCAAGCUGCAUUUGAAACUGUGGUUCUUGAGUAUCGGAGAGGCAGGCGGAAUUCCUAGUGUAGCGGUGAAAUGCGUAGAUAUUAGGAGGAACACCAGUGGCGAAGGCGGCCUGCUGGACGACAACUGACGCUGAGGCGCGAAAGCGUGGGGAGCAAACAGGAUUAGAUACCCGCGUAGUCC